GCCCCAGGUCUGCAAGUAAGUUCCUGCUUGUCACACAUUCCACACUUCUACACUGAAGUCAAAUAUUUUUUCAGUUUAUGGAUUUUUUCCCCCUUCUAUUAGUGCCUGUAUUAGUUUUCAAAGGCUGCUUGAAGAAAUUUGAAUACGUGAAAAUGUAUUUCUGCAAGCUAGAAGACAGAAGUUUGAAAGGCUAGAGAUGGAAUCGGAGCUGCAGCUGCCAGCCUGUGCCAUAGCCACAGCAAUGCUAGAUGAGCUGCAUCUGUGACCUGUGCCACAGCUUGCUGCAACACUGAAUACUUAACCCACUGAGUGAGACCAGGGAUUGAACCUGCAUCCUUGAGGACACUAUGUUGGGUUCUUAACCUGCUCAGCCACAACGUGAACUCCACCAAUGGAGGAAGUCUGAAAGGUUGAACAUUAAUCUUAAAUACUGAGCUAAUUGCUCAGUAAGAGUUUAAGAGACUGAGAAACCAGUAUUUGACUGAAUCCAGCUUGCCUCCAUGAGCCUUGGCUACAUUGCUGUCCUGGCUUGAAAUGCGGGUGUGUGAUAGGAAUGUCGUCAUCACCAAGAACAUGAGGAAAAUAAACAUAAAGGUAAUGAAUAAGUUAUAGUCAUAAUAACAAUAGUAGUAAUGAUUAAUGAUAACAUUUAUGGAGCACUUGCUUUGUGCCAGGGUCUGUACUUUAUAGGCAAUAACUCAUUUAAUAUUGACAGCAACAACCUAUGAAAUAUAUGCGACUCUUAAGCCUCCAAUUUACAGAUGAGGAAACUAAGGCACAGAGAAAUUGUGUCAUGUCUGUUGAGCUAAGGGGUGAAGCCAGCAACCCAGGAUACUGGCUCUAGAGCUCUUAACCACCUAUGCUAUGUUGCCACUCAAAAAUGAUAAGUGGAAGGGUUAGGACUAAAGCUUCUGGCUUCUAGUCCACUGUUUUUCUUGGAUAAGAAGCCCUAACUAUGCAGCAUGUUUAAAACUAUAUACUAAUAGGGGAUACAAAAUAUGUAAAUUACAUGGUACUCAUCUUUGGGAAAAUUUCCAGACCAGCAAUAAAAGCACAAAGUAUCUUUAUUUGGAGGAUGAAUUGAAGGAGAUAAAACCAGUUCUUGGAGAGCUUUGACUUUCAAGCUAAGUAAUCUGUGGUUAUAGCAUGGUUGGUUAUAGUUAUAUCAAAUGUAAUGUUAAUGUAUGUGGUCAAUGACUUUAAAUCUAAUACACUUUCUUCCUUUGUUUCUUUCUCCCUCCCCUCUUUCAAUAUCCCUUUCUUUUUUCCCCACAUAUAUAGCAUUUAGGUGUAUUUCUCUAUAACUUCAGUUAGUUAUGAGAACAUUUAAAACUUGUUAUAAGUAUAGAGAGAACACUCAUAUUUACUAUGAGAGAUCUUCAGCUAUAUUUAUGAGGUCUGGAGAAAAUAUUUACAAAUAAUUACUGCUGCUUUGCUCUUUUAAGGAAGAUACUAUAAUGAAGUCUGAGAGAAAAGUUGCUGAUUGGCUUCUAGUAAACAGAGCAAAAUCAGGAGAGUUCCUGUUGUGGUGCAGCAGAAACAAAUCUGACUAGGAACUGUGAGGUUGUGGGGUCAACCCCUGGCCUGGCUCAGUGGGUUAAAGAGCCGGCAUUGCCUUGAGCUGUGGUGUAGCUCACAGACUCGGCUCAGAUCUGGUAUUGCCGUGACUGUGGUGUAGGCUAGCAGUUGCAGCUCUGAUUAGACCCCUAGCCUGGGAACCUCCAUAUGACACAGGUGUCACCCAUAAAAGACAAAAGACAAAAGAAAAAAUAGCAAAAUCACUUCUAAAUAGCAUAACAGUAAGUCAUGUGUAAAUAAAUGUUCUUAAAUGCUUAAAGGUAAUUAACAUAGUUUAAACAGUUUUUAUGAAAUUUUGUGGAAAAUUUAUUUACUUUUAAAAUAAAGACUUUCUUUAGAGAUAGUAUAAACAUUAGCCUGGCCUUCUGAGUAAUUACAAAUUCAGCUUUAGUGGAGUGUGAGUUAAAGAAGCAUUAUUGCUUUUCCAAUGCUCCUCAUUCCUUUUGGAAAAUUAAGGAGAGUAAGGAAAGCGUUGUCUGAUUCUUUUUAUAUAUACCACUGUAUCUGCUACCCACUAGGUGUUGACUGAUGAGGAUGAAAGGACAGAUGUGCCCCAGGAGUGCAUUUACCAAUGUAGAUAAUCCCUUUUGGGGGAUGAAAUCUCAGGAAAGGGAAGCUGCUUCUACCAAAGAGGACAAAGAAAAACAAAGAUUUGGUUUGUAAUUUUUUUUUUCCUGGUUGUUUUAGAAUUUCCAUUUUUAGAUGAAUUUCUCACUUGUGUGAAUUUAUGAAAGGCAAAUUAUGACUUCCAAUGUUUUUCUCUCAAGCAAUCCACUUGGUUUUCCAUUCUACAUACCUCAAAUGAUUCCAUUCUGUUAGAAAUGUUAUAUGUAAUUCUGCAUUUACGCAAGAAGUAACUUGCCAGAAGGGGGUUGAGAUUUGGAUUUUGGACCACAAACAUGUAUUAUAUUUCCUCCUGCAUAUACUCAUAAUAAGAUUAUGUUCAGUGGGUAACCUUCCUUAACAGCAAACAUGAGCAACUUGGAAUUAAAAAAUACUAAAGGAGUUCCCAUCAUGGCUCAGCAGAAAUGAAUCUGACUAGCAUCUAUGAGGAUCCAGAUUCCAUCCCUGGCCUUGCUCAGUGGGUAAAGGAUCUGGCGCUGCUGUGAACAGUGGGUAUAGGUCACAGAAAAAAAAAAAAAAA
This 2722-nucleotide long non-coding RNA is filed under the name Sus scrofa (pig). RNAcentral describes it as "lncRNA (ENSSSCG00035037163.1, ENSSSCG00065068788.1)". Lineage: Eukaryota; Metazoa; Chordata; Mammalia; Artiodactyla; Suidae. The record is from RNAcentral.